GACGAACGCUGGCGGCGUGCCUAACACAUGCAAGUCGAACGGAUUUGUGAGGUGUGAGGUUAGAGGUUAGAGGUGAGAAAUUCUAAGGAAGAAAUCGGCGCAGGCCGAUUUCAACAAGAUUCUCACAUCCAACUUCUCACCUCGCACUUCGCAAAUUAGUGGCGGACGGGUGAGUAACGCGUGGAUGACCUACCUAUAUGUGGGGGAUAACAGUUGGAAACGACUGCUAAUACCGCAUGUGAUCACAAUUAUAAAGGUUGUGAGGAAAGAUGGCCUCUGUUUACAAGCUGUCGCAUAUAGAUGGGUCCGCGUCUGAUUAGCUAGUUGGUAGGGUAAAGGCCUACCAAGGCGACGAUCAGUAGCCGGCCUGAGAGGGUGGACGGCCACACUGGGACUGAGACACGGCCCAGACUCCUACGGGAGGCAGCAGUGGGGAUAUUGCGCAAUGGGGGAAACCCUGACGCAGCGACGCCGCGUGAGCGAAGAGACCG
RNAcentral lists this ribosomal RNA (491 nucleotides) under uncultured bacterium. RNAcentral describes it as "bacterial SSU rRNA". It matches the Rfam family "Bacterial small subunit ribosomal RNA", at positions 28 to 416 of the family's 1533-position model. The record is from RNAcentral.